UUUUAUGAUUCCAGGUUCUGAAAGAGUGUCAGCUACUGGCAAAUCCAUACAGCUGACAAGAUGCAGGUCAACCUUCUGUCUCAGGACAUCUGAUACCCCCUCUCCUGGAAACAGAAGACCCAGUCCACUUGACCAGCCUUCUUCAAAUAGCACCACCCUCAACCGCACCCAAGCAAGACAGGCUGGCUCUCCAAACCCAGCCAGGGGACAGCCAUCCUAGUGUUCAGGAGUCAGAAGCCCAGGAGGAAAUAGCCCCGGGAGAUAUUAAAUACCACCUGGAGCCCCUUCCCAAGGCUCCACUCCAGACGCAACCCCCAAGCUACUCCAACCAGCACAGCAAGCCUCAGUGGCUCCCCUUCAGUACAACCUAUGGAGAAUGUUAUAAGCCCGGGAGGAUACAGCCUGUGACUUACCAUGGGGAGAACCCCUCCCAUUCAGGUGAUGACUAUAUGACCACUACUCAUCAGAUUUCCUUGCAGAGCCCUCUUCUUGGUCAGUCCACGUUCCCAGUUCAUAUCCAGGGCAGAAAAAUAGGACCAAUAGUGCGUCCAGGCCAUAUGGAGUACACCAGCCAAUACCAGAGUGACUUCCAAGCCUCAGGGUGGAAUCAAGUCCUCAAAACUGACCCAGACAAAAGAAGCCAGGGGAUCAAUGGUAGAGGAAAGGAUAACCUUCACUGGGAAGUGAACAGGGAUGUGAGCCUAGCAACAAAUACACCCAGACUGUGCAGAAAGACAAUGCCUCUGGCUGGCAGCCCACUAUGCAUCAGCAUCCGAAGCCGAGAUGGGUGAAGCAGGAGAUGACCAUCCUGGGUAGGAAGAGCACUGUCAAGUUUGACGGAGGCACAGUGACCAGGGUAAAGUGCCCAAGCUCUCUGUCUAGAGGUAAUCAGCAUGAGGGUCCUAACUACUCCCUCAACCCAAGGAGGGGAAUGGGGGUAGACAGGGAACAAAGGAAAACAUUUACCCGACCAGGACACCCCAACCCCACUUGUCUUGAGAAAUCCAGAAAUUUUACUUUCCUGAAUCUGCAGCCACUUAUGGACUCUGAUAUUUGCCCCUGACCAAAGAGGUGAGGUACGUACGCACUUAACAUAUGCUGGCCACGUGGUAAGUACUUAACAAAAGAUAGCAAUUAAAAUCAUCAUUAUUAUUAUUUCCCCAGACAUGCAUUCCUCUCUUCCCAGAUGUCUUAUCUACCUCCUCCCAAAUCCCUGGUAAAAAGAGUCAAGGGUAAGUGCCCCUCUAGCACACUCAGGGUCUUCAAAGCCAAGUUACAAACUGAAACUACCAGCAAGCAAUUCUUCCAGGACUGUAGAACUCAGCCCCAGGUAUGCUACGGAGACCUUCAUCACAGAGGCUAUGAGAAGCCCCUGAGUGUGGGUUCGCAGGCACCACCUCAGGAUCAAACUACCACCAGGACCUCCUACAUGCCCUUGUUUUCUGAAAGACUGAACCUCUGUAAGCCCAAGGUCAACAGCAGCAAAUGGGAGCCAAACAAAAUUUCUCUACUGAGCAAAGGAAAACAUUCAGACCAGUCCAGCUGCCUGAAAGCCGGCUCCAGAAGUACUUUUGACAAGAGGACUCAAAAUCCCCAAAAAAUAAUAAUAAUCGGGAGAAAGAAACCGCCCAAAUAACCUAUGCAAAAAUGCACAGUUGGGCACCCAUAUCGAACCUUAAAACUGAGGUCCCACCGUAACUACCUCAUAGAACAGACUCAGUUUUCCCGCUGGGAUUUCCCAGUCACACCCUGACCCUAAUACAACUCUUUGAAACUAACUGAGCAAGGGUGAGUAACCUUUUUAGAAAGAAAGGAUGCACUGUGAGUCUUAGAAGGUCAGUGUGUUCCAGGACUCCUGAGGGAAAAAGAGGUCAGACUAUUUCCCCCUAACGAAUGAAUGGCAAAGCAUCAAAACUUUUCUUGUCAGUGCCAUCAAUUAAUGACAUUCUAUUUGAGCUACAGCGUCUGCUCACUGCUGCUUUUUUUCCCUUUACAUUCUCUGAGAUUAUAAUUCACAUACCAUAAAAUUUACCCUUUUAAAGUGUAUAAUCCAGUGGGUUUGAGUAUUGCUCACUGCCGCUUAAGUCUAAACUUCAGAGUGGAGAAAGUGGCACAGGAAAGGAAGGAGAACAUGAGGGUCUGGAUUGAUUAAAACAAACAAACAAAAUCUUCCACGUAGAGAAAGUAUCCAAAGCCUAAAGGAGAAUCUCAUCAAAGUCUAAACACCAGGUCUCUCUCUUAAAAAUACUUACCAUUUUG
Herpailurus yagouaroundi (jaguarundi) is the source of this 2259-nucleotide RNA transcript. RefSeq lists it as uncharacterized. NCBI's taxonomy places the organism in Eukaryota, Metazoa, Chordata, Mammalia, Carnivora, Felidae. The record is from RefSeq and is a predicted model, not a curated record. The transcript has 8 exons.